RNAcentral lists this ribosomal RNA (344 nucleotides) under uncultured bacterium. Its description in RNAcentral is "bacterial SSU rRNA". It matches the Rfam family "Bacterial small subunit ribosomal RNA", at positions 145 to 507 of the family's 1533-position model. The record is from RNAcentral.
AACACNCCGAAAGGUGUGCUAAUACCGCAUAACGUAUCUUUGCCGCAUGACAGAGAUACCAAAGAUUUAUCGCUGAGAGAUGGACUCGCGUCCAAUUAGCUAGAUGGUGAGGUAACGGCUCACCAUGGCGACGAUUGGUAGCCGGACUGAGAGGUUGAACGGCCACAUUGGGACUGAGACACGGCCCAGACUCCUACGGGAGGCAGCAGUGGGGAAUAUUGCACAAUGGGGGAAACCCUGAUGCAGCGACGCCGCGUGAGUGAAGAAGGUCUUCGGAUCGUAAAGCUCUGUCUUCAGGGACGAUAAUGACGGUACCUGAGGAGGAAGCCACGGCUAACUACGUG